GAUGAACGCUGGCGGCGUGCCUAAUACAUGCAAGUCGAGCGAACAGACGAGGAGCUUGCUCCUCUGACGUUAGCGGCGGACGGGUGAGUAACACGUGGAUAACCUACCUAUAAGACUGGGAUAACUUCGGGAAACCGGAGCUAAUACCGGAUAAUAUAUUGAACCGCAUGGUUCAAUAGUGAAAGACGGUUUUGCUGUCACUUAUAGAUGGAUCCGCGCCGCAUUAGCUAGUUGGUAAGGUAACGGCUUACCAAGGCAACGAUGCGUAGCCGACCUGAGAGGGUGAGCGGCAACGCUGGAACUGAGACACGGUCCAGACUCCUACGGGAGGCAGCAGUAGGGAAUCUUCCGCAAUGGGAGAAAGCCUGACGGAGCAACGACGCGUGAGUGAUGAAGGUAUUCGGAUCGUAAAACUCUGUUAUUAGGGAAGAACAAAUGUGUAAGUAACUAUGCACGACUAGAAGGUACCUAAUCAGAAAGCCACGGCUAAAUACGUG
Molecule: ribosomal RNA, 497 nt
Filed under: uncultured bacterium
Lineage: Bacteria
Description: partial 16S ribosomal RNA
Rfam family: Bacterial small subunit ribosomal RNA
Source: RNAcentral